This 259-nucleotide ribosomal RNA is filed under the name uncultured bacterium. RNAcentral's name for it is "partial 16S ribosomal RNA". It matches the Rfam family "Bacterial small subunit ribosomal RNA", at positions 793 to 1055 of the family's 1533-position model. The record is from RNAcentral.
GUCCACGCCCUAAACGAUGUCAACUGGUUGUUGGGAGGGUUUCUUCUCAGUAACGUAGCUAACGCGUGAAGUUGACCGCCUGGGAGUACGGCCGCAAGGUUGAAACUCAAGGAAUUGACGGGACCCGCACAAGCGGUGGAUGAUGUGGUUUAAUUCGAUGCAACGCGAAACCUUACCUACCCUUGACAUGUCAGGAAUCCUGAAGAGAUUUGGGAGUGCUCGAAAGAGAACCUGAACACAGGUGCUGCAUGGCCGUCGU